Molecule: long non-coding RNA, 296 nt
Organism: Cervus elaphus (red deer)
Lineage: Eukaryota; Metazoa; Chordata; Mammalia; Artiodactyla; Cervidae
Exons: 3
Source: RefSeq, a predicted model, not a curated record
GUGAAAUGGGCCACAACAUGAUGGGAUUCUCGGAAAGCCAACUUUCAAGGGAUCAUCAAUGCCGAUCCUUAACUCUUCAGGGAAAGCAAACAUUCCAGAAUCCUCAGAUCCUAACAGAGAGGCCGACCUCUGGUUUCCCGGGUGGGCUUUUCACCAGCAAUGUCACCUGCUCUGAGCAUCUAGGUAUUCUUCCAUUCUCGCAACAAAAUGUUGGUGUUGGGAAACUGGAGGACAUUUUCCCAACAUUUUCUGGAGCUUAAUAAGGAAGACACAGUUCCUAAUCCCAUGGAAUUCCC